This 892-nucleotide ribosomal RNA is filed under the name Stachybotrys nephrospora. RNAcentral's name for it is "eukaryotic LSU rRNA". It matches the Rfam family "Eukaryotic large subunit ribosomal RNA", at positions 33 to 960 of the family's 3401-position model. Lineage: Eukaryota; Fungi; Ascomycota; Sordariomycetes; Hypocreales; Stachybotryaceae. The record is from RNAcentral.
CUUAAGCAUAUCAAUAAGCGGAGGAAAAGAAACCAACAGGGAUUGCCUCAGUAACGGCGAGUGAAGCGGCAACAGCUCAAAUUUGAAAUCUGGCCCUCUGGGUCCGAGUUGUAAUUUGCAGAGGAUGCUUUUGGCGCGGUGCCUUCCGAGUUCCCUGGAACGGGACGCCACAGAGGGUGAGAGCCCCGUCUGGUUGGACACCAAGCCUAUGUAAAGCUCCUUCGACGAGUCGAGUAGUUUGGGAAUGCUGCUCUAAAUGGGAGGUACAUGCCUUCUAAAGCUAAAUACCGGCCAGAGACCGAUAGCGCACAAGUAGAGUGAUCGAAAGAUGAAAAGCACUUUGGAAAGAGAGUUAAAAAGCACGUGAAAUUGUUAAAAGGGAAGCGUUUAUGACCAGACGUGGGCCGGUUAAUCAUCCAGCGUUCUCGCUGGUGCACUUUGCCGGUCCAGGCCAGCAUCAGUUCGCCGCGGGGGACAAAGGCGUCGGGAAUGUGGCUCCUCGGAGUGUUAUAGCCCUUCGCGCAAUACCCUGGGGCGGACUGAGGUUCGCGCUCUGCAAGGAUGCUGGCGUAAUGGUCAUCAACGACCCGUCUUGAAACACGGACCAAGGAGUCGUCUUCGUAUGCGAGUGUUCGGGUGUAAAACCCCUACGCGUAAUGAAAGUGAACGCAGGUGAGAGCUUCGGCGCAUCAUCGACCGAUCCUGAUGUUCUCGGAUGGAUUUGAGUAAGAGCAUACGGGGCCGGACCCGAAAGAAGGUGAACUAUGCCUGUAUAGGGUGAAGCCAGAGGAAACUCUGGUGGAGGCUCGCAGCGGUUCUGACGUGCAAAUCGAUCGUCAAAUAUGGGCAUGGGGGCGAAAGACUAAUCGAACCUUCUAGUAGCUGGUUUCCG